UAUAUACUCCCUUCGUUCGAAAAUACUUAUCAUUAAAAUGGAUAAAAAGAGAUGUAUCUAAAACUAAAAUACGUCUAGAUACAUUCCCUUUUAUCCAUCUUGAUGACAAGUAUUUCCGGACAGAAGGAGUAUAUG
Non-coding RNA from Triticum aestivum (bread wheat), 135 nucleotides. The record is from Rfam. Lineage: Eukaryota; Viridiplantae; Streptophyta; Magnoliopsida; Poales; Poaceae.